AUUGAACGCUGGCGGCAUGCUUUACACAUGCAAGUCGAACGGUAACAGGCCUUCGGGUGCUGACGAGUGGCGAACGGGUGAGUAAUGCAUCGGAACGUACCCAGAGGUGGGGGAUAACGCAGCGAAAGCUGUGCUAAUACCGCAUGUGAUCUGAGGAUGAAAGCGGGGGACCGAGCAGCAAUGUUUGGCCUCGCGCCUUUGGAGCGGCCGAUGUCGGAUUAGCUAGUUGGUGGGGUAAAGGCCUACCAAGGCGACGAUCCGUAGCUGGUCUGAGAGGACGACCAGCCACACUGGGACUGAGACACGGCCCAGAUUCCUACGGGAGGCAGCAGUGGGGAAUUUUGGACAAUGGGCGCAAGCCUGAUCCAGCAAUGCCGCGUGCGGGAAGAAGGCCUUCGGGUUGUAAACCGCUUUUGGCAGGAACGAAACGGUGUCCGCUAAUACCGGGCGCUAAUGACGGUACCUGCAGAAUAAGCACCGGCUAACUACGUG
This 492-nucleotide ribosomal RNA is filed under the name uncultured bacterium. RNAcentral describes it as "partial 16S ribosomal RNA". It matches the Rfam family "Bacterial small subunit ribosomal RNA", at positions 30 to 507 of the family's 1533-position model. The record is from RNAcentral.